Molecule: long non-coding RNA, 1541 nt
Organism: Zootermopsis nevadensis
Lineage: Eukaryota; Metazoa; Arthropoda; Insecta; Blattodea; Termopsidae
Source: RefSeq, a predicted model, not a curated record
GCCUCCAUCAUAAGGGCUCACUGCACCUCUGAAACGCCCUGAUGAUGGAGGUAAUAAAUACUUUUGAAACGUCAAUAAUCUUCAUAUUAUCAGGCCAAUAUCGUAAAGAAAUUACAGAUGUUUUAGAAAUGUAAAUUAGUUUUUUAAAUAAGGGAUUUGAACGGGUAAUGUGGUAUCUCUUACAAAUUCGUCCAUGAAGAUUAUCUUUAGGAAAUUAAGUUAUUUAUUGUGAAGUGCUACAGAUUCGUUCUGAACGGAUCCACGUGGUAAGCGGUUUCCUGUAGCAAACCUUUCGUGAACAAUAUGUUAUUCUGCUAAUAAGGUAAGGGGAGACCCACGCAAUAUAGCCUAGGUACAGUCAGGAAAGAAACACCAAAGAAUCAAGGACACACGGUGCUGUGUUUAACAAAUAGCUCAAUUUUAAAAAAUUAACAAAGAUAUUGAUUUACUCUGGCGUAAUGAACUCUUGGGUGCAAAGCCGUGGAGACUUACAGAUAGACACACAGCUGGUGUGGUACGUGAAGAAAUUAGUUUACGUCACGCUGUGCGGAAACAGUGAUCUGCGCAUGCGCGAGUAACUCGUAUGAUGUGCUGUGUGGAUAACGCGUAGCGCUGUUAAAACAGGACACAGUCGAAUUUAUCAUUCUUCAAUAUUAAUCUACAGUCUGUGUGCGUAAACCUCGGAGCAAAAUAACGUUGAAACUUUAAAACCAUGAGGACAGGAACAUUAUCAUGUUAAGUUAUCGAUGGACAAUCACCUCUUGGUGAUAUGAGUCAUCGCCCUGAUGAUGGAGGCAGCAAGGACCUCUGAAGCACCAAUAAACUUCUACCAGACUACACGUCGUAACAACCCAGAAGACAGCAAUCUUCAGGCAUCUCUUACUUAACAGGAAACCAGACUAAUUUUUACCAAUCUCGUUGUAUCUCGCUUGUUCCGACGCCAAUAAAGUUGAGCUGCACUGAAUAAGCAAUUUUUCCCCCAGAAAAUGAUUCCACGAGAACUACGUGUCCCGCCGAUCUGAACAUUCUUAAUUUGAACAUCUAAAUAAUAUUGUAUGAAUGUAGCGUACAAAUUAUUAACCUACGCUUUGUUCUGUUUCAUCCAUUUUUCUCGAACAAAUGUAACACCAAUACAAAACAGAAGGUAAAAGUAUAUUUAAUAGUUUCGUUUUUACGUUCAAAAUACGAGAUUACUAUAAAAUUUAUUCUGAACAAAAUGAUAUUAAGCAUUUCUAGAAUACAUUCUGCUCUCUUAACUUCUUCGUUAAUAUAAUUUUGGGAAUUUUACUGACUUUCCCCCCAAAAAAAAUUUUACUCUUAUCUCAUAUUCAAAUAAUUUUUAAAUUAGCUGUUUUAUAUUAAUAUUCUAUCGUGGUGUAAAUAUGGCACAUUAAGAACCAAAUAAAUUAAUAAAUAACCAUUUUACUGUAUAUCUUUCACACAAUUUAGUAAUACUAGGCUCCAGAAUUAUCCUUACAAACCAUCCUGUUCUAUAUCAAGCGUGAAGUAUUGAACACAAGCCUACUUUUUUUUUCCAAUAA